This 84-nucleotide transfer RNA is filed under the name Lactobacillus hominis. RNAcentral's name for it is "tRNA-Leu". It matches the Rfam family "tRNA". Rfam says of the family: Transfer RNA (tRNA) molecules are approximately 80 nucleotides in length. Their secondary structure includes four short double-helical elements and three loops (D, anti-codon, and T loops). Lineage: Bacteria; Bacillati; Bacillota; Bacilli; Lactobacillales; Lactobacillaceae. The record is from RNAcentral.
GCCCUGAUGGCGGAAUUGGCAGACGCGUAGCGUUCAGGUCGCUAUUUUCUUUUGAAAGUGCAGGUUCGACUCCUGUUCAGGGCA